This 465-nucleotide ribosomal RNA is filed under the name Vreelandella stevensii. RNAcentral describes it as "partial 16S ribosomal RNA". It matches the Rfam family "Bacterial small subunit ribosomal RNA", at positions 338 to 795 of the family's 1533-position model. The record is from RNAcentral. Lineage: Bacteria; Pseudomonadati; Pseudomonadota; Gammaproteobacteria; Oceanospirillales; Halomonadaceae.
CCUACGGGUGGAGGCAGUGGGGAAUAUUGGACAAUGGGCGAAAGCCUGAUCCAGCCAUGCCGCGUGUGUGAAGAAGGCCUUCGGGUUGUAAAGCACUUUCAGUGGGGAAGAAAGCCUUGGGGCUAAUACCCUCGAGGAAGGACAUCACCCACAGAAGAAGCACCGGCUAACUCCGUGCCAGCAGCCGCGGUAAUACGGAGGGUGCGAGCGUUAAUCGGAAUUACUGGGCGUAAAGCGCGCGUAGGCGGUCUGAUAAGCCGGUUGUGAAAGCCCCGGGCUCAACCUGGGAACGGCAUCCGGAACUGUCAGGCUAGAGUGCAGGAGAGGAAGGUAGAAUUCCCGGUGUAGCGGUGAAAUGCGUAGAGAUCGGGAGGAAUACCAGUGGCGAAGGCGGCCUUCUGGACUGACACUGACGCUGAGGUGCGAAAGCGUGGGUAGCAAACAGGAUUAGAUACCCUUGUAGUC